GGUAAUACGAAGGGUGCAAGCGUUACUCGGAAUUACUGGGCGUAAAGCGUGCGUAGGUGGUUGUUUAAGUCUGUUGUGAAAGCCCUGGGCUCAACCUGGGAAUUGCAGUGGAUACUGGGCGACUAGAGUGUGGUAGAGGGUAGUGGAAUUCCCGGUGUAGCAGUGAAAUGCGUAGAGAUCGGGAGGAACAUCCAUGGCGAAGGCAGCUACCUGGACCAACACUGACACUGAGGCACGAAAGCGUGGGGAGCAAAC
This 255-nucleotide ribosomal RNA is filed under the name Stenotrophomonas rhizophila. RNAcentral's name for it is "partial 16S ribosomal RNA". It matches the Rfam family "Bacterial small subunit ribosomal RNA", at positions 519 to 773 of the family's 1533-position model. Lineage: Bacteria; Pseudomonadati; Pseudomonadota; Gammaproteobacteria; Lysobacterales; Lysobacteraceae. The record is from RNAcentral.